AGCAGCCGCGGUAAUUCCAGCUCCAAUAGCGUAUAUUAAAGUUGUUGCAGUUAAAAAGCUCGUAGUUGAAUUUUGGAUUCUUCCAAUUGGUCCAUCUUUUAGAUGAGUACUGGUUGUGUGGGGUCUAUCCGCCUGGUGAUACGUAAUGUCCUUUAUUGGAUGUUGCGGGUAGUCAGGACCUUUACCUUGAAAAAAUUAGAGUGUUUAAAGCAGGCUUAUGCCGGAAUACAUUAGCAUGGAAUAAUAGAAUAGGACGAAGUUGUUUUAUUUUGUUGGUUUCUAGGACAACCGUAAUGAUUAAUAGGGAUAGUUGGGGGCAUUAGUAUUCAAUUGUCAGAGGUGAAAUUCUUGGAUUUAUUGAAGACUAACUACUGCGAAAGCAUUUGCCAAGGAUGUUUUCAUUAAUCAAGAACGAAAGUUAGGGGAUCGAAGACGAUCAGAUACCGUCGUAGUCUUAACCAUAAACUAUGCCGACUAGGGAUCGGAUGAUGUUAAUUUUUUUAAUGACUCAUUCGGCGCC
Molecule: unclassified non-coding RNA, 520 nt
Filed under: uncultured Glomus
Lineage: Eukaryota; Fungi; Glomeromycota; Glomeromycetes; Glomerales; Glomeraceae
Description: SSU rRNA
Rfam family: Eukaryotic small subunit ribosomal RNA
Source: RNAcentral